Dallia pectoralis (Alaska blackfish) is the source of this 72-nucleotide non-coding RNA. The record is from the annotation of a GenBank genome assembly. Lineage: Eukaryota; Metazoa; Chordata; Actinopteri; Esociformes; Umbridae.
UGAUUGGUAGCUCAGUGGUAGAGUGCCUGCUUUGUAUGUAUGAUGACCUGGGGUCAAUCCUCAGCCCCUCUC